GACGUAGGGCGCGAGCGUUGUCCGGAUUUAUUGGGCGUAAAGAGCUCGUAGGCGGCUUGUCGCGUCGACUGUGAAAUCCCGCGGCUCAACUGCGGGUCUGCAGUCGAUACGGGCAGGCUAGAGUUCGGUAGGGGAGACUGGAAUUCCUGGUGUAGCGGUGAAAUGCGCAGAUAUCAGGAGGAACACCAGCGGCGAAGGCGGCGCUCUGGGCCGGAACUGACGCUGAGGAGCGAAAGCGUGGGUAGCAAACAGG
RNAcentral lists this ribosomal RNA (253 nucleotides) under uncultured bacterium. RNAcentral describes it as "partial 16S ribosomal RNA". It matches the Rfam family "Bacterial small subunit ribosomal RNA", at positions 524 to 776 of the family's 1533-position model. The record is from RNAcentral.